CGCGAACACGCAGCAGCGAGAAUCUACAGGGGCGUGGUUUGCGCACGCGGGAACUGGGAUCUCAACCCCAGGGCUAGGUGCCUCCUCCCGCUGCUUUCCGCCAGCUGCGGGGUGUGAGAUUAAUCCCCGCCGAUUAGCGCCAGGUGUACUAAGCGCUGGAUGGUUCCCUGACCAGAUGAAACAUCAGCCGAUGUUCUAAUGCCGGUCCCCUGGGCGCUGUCCCCGAGAGGGAAAACCUGUUUUCUGACCCCGGCUCUAGUCGGCCUCUGGAGGUCUGCAGCUGGGUUAUUUUACCUUUGAAACGGACGACACCUGCCCCGUGCACCCCAGCGGCUCCUCCACACGGAGAGAUGGUGUCAGUCAAAGGCCGUCUAGAUGACGAGUUUAUGAAAUUGUUCCUGGCCCGUGCCGGGCACGACCUUGCAGAGAGCCCAGAAGAUGAAACCCCAGCCCUGCCAGGAGCUCACCUGCUAAUUAGGAGGACAACGAAUCACCUCACCUCCCUAGACUUUGCUUCUCCUUUAUUCAGUGAGGGAUUGGACUAGCUGGUCCUUGAGGACUUUUCAGAAAGUCUGGUUCUGGGAGAUGACCAAUGGGAUCAUCUUAUGCUAUGAGCUUUCCUGGAAUGACAGGUAAUGGAGAGUGAGGAGAUUUUACCUGAUAUGGUCCUGUUUGCACCAUCAGCCAGCAACCUUUCUGGGAAGCGUGCUUAUUAUGUACCAACAUAAAAGCUUGAAUAUAAGAACAGAACACAAGAACGGGGCUGAAGCUCUAACAGAAAAGACAUAAGACCCUUGAGAAAGCAUUACUUGAACACAAGGUUUCUGGGACAUUAAACAUGGGUAUAAGUGCUGCUAUAGUACCUUUCUGGGGAAGACUUCCUCCUGUCUCGGGGACUUAGGCAUCAUCAAAGGCAGGGUGGGAUGAAGAAAGUAAGGUGAAUGCUCUGGUAGACUGAGAAGUCUAGGAUAUACAGGGGGACUUCAGGUGUCAAAACAAGAGGAGAAGGCUUCAGAAGCACACAAUGUCAGGGUCAGAAUUGAAGCCAGGUUGCAGCCCAAAGGGGACAGACAGCCCUGCCAGUUACUCGUGCUUCAGAGGUGGCACGGCUGCUCUCGGAGAAGCAACUGACUAUUUCAGUUUUCCCUGACUACAGCUAUAAGGACGCUCCCUACCUGCCACCCUCCAUAUCAUCCCCCGCCCGCACCUAGACACCCGAAUCAAGGCAAUGAAAUUGUCUUGUGGGACAUCUAUGUGCCCAGCAAAGCUCAGCACAUUAUGUGCAUUUUUAUUCAAUAAUGACAACGAUGUUCAAGAUCAGCGCUGUUACUCUCAUGACACAGAUGAAGAAAGGCCUAGAGAUGAAGUCACGUGCCCAAGUCUGCAGGGUCCUGACUCAUAGAGCUGGUAUGGAAACUGAUCUGGCUGGUUCUGGAGCCCCUGCUUUUCCAUUUCACCACUGACUAGGAGGAGAGAGAGGACCCUGAAAUAUCGUUUAGUUCAAUACUUGACUCUCUAGACAAAGAACUGGGAAUGACACAUAUGGGAAAUAAGGAAUUCUCCAUCUGCAGAGGUCUGCUAGGCAUUUUCUCUGAGGAGUCAAUCAUUCACCGUUCUCUCAAAAGCAGCUUAUGCAAAAUAUGAUCUCUUAGCAGCCACAGUAUUCAAUACCCUGAUUAGGUUCAAAUCAGAAGGCAAACACCUCAAGGACAAGAGUUUGCAACAAAAAAGGCAACAACAGCACCCUGGACACUCAUGUCAGGACAUUCCAAUGUGCAUACGCCUCCUUAAGCACAGAGGGAUGCUGAAGAUGAUCUACCAAAGCAAACAUUCUUUCUGUUUUGUCUCCACAUCAAAGGAAGGAAAUUGUUACAUGGAAAACAGGAACAAGUAAUUUAUAACCUAUUUCUGCUUGGUCCUAGAAUGGACUGACUAUCCUCACACCCUAUCACAAGCACUGUUCACCCCUCUCUUCCUUCUUAGAGAAGUUAAAAACUGUGCUUCAGUGAGCUCCCAUCCCACUCAAAGUAAAACCCUCAAUCUUGACUGUGCCUAGAAGACCCAAGAGGAUUCUGGCCCCACUACUCUUCUCUCAUCUCAUCUCCUGCUCUUCCUUCUGCUCCCUCCAUGAUCAUCAUACUGGCUUCUUGAUCCUUGAACAUGCCAAGGACUCUUCCCUUAGAGAGCCAUAGAGCUCCCUUUCUCCCUUCCUUCAAGGUGUCAAAGAAAAUACUGUUUCAGCACCCUCCAAGUUUAUUACACCCAGAAGGAUAUUAAGACCCAAGACUGAGUCGCACCACCGGUUUCCAAUUCUGCUUCUCAGAUUAAAGGAGAACUCUCUUCCCCAUUGUUCCUCUUCUGUGAAUGAGUAGGAGAGACCAGAGACCAGGCCUUGCCCACUACCGAACCCAGAUCUUUGUUAUAGGUUAACUGACUCCUUUAUUGUCGUGUACCUUGCUAAGACCAGAUGACACCCGAGAUGCCAAGACUGUUAAAUCUUCAGUGAGGAAUGUUAAAUCUACCUUUCCACAAAGAAAAAGACCACCUGGACUAAUUAGAUCAUUUAAAUGAUGCAUUAAACCUUACACAGAAAGAUGUUGAAAUUCUGCUAGGCUUUCCCAAGCUUCCUCUGUAUAAAGGAUCCCAAACUUCACUUUGGAAUACAGACUUCCAUUCUGUGGAAUCUGGGCUUCCCACACAGGCCUGUCCUCAACGUUUGUGCCUAAAUCAACUCUAUUUAAGGUAAAUUCUGACCUUCUUGCGUCCUUUAGUUUAACAGGGGUCUCUGGUGAAGUGCCUCCUUAUUGGAGAGGACAUUUCUGUCACCUCACCCUCAUACACUGCUCAGCCCCUCCCCUUGCUUUAUUUUCUCCAUGGUGCUUCCCUGACAUGUAUGCCCUUGUUGAGGGCUUGCUUCCUCUCCUUGACUAGAAUGUAAGUUGCAUGAAGCCAGGGACAUCAGCUUAAUUCAGUGCAGCAUCCCCAGGGCUUAGAGAAUCACCUGGCACACAGGAGGUUUUCAAUAAUUAAGAAACAAAUUUGUGUAAACAGCAAGGGUGGGAGUUGGCAGAAGUGCAUUCUGUAUAAAACACAGGUAUUUGUGUUUGGCUGUUGGUGCUAAGGAAGGCUGUGAAAGGUGAGUUCAAGUUUGCUUCUGAUAUACAUUGGAAAUAUCAACUCCUCUUUCUCCGUAGCCACAACUCCCACUCCCUACCUCUUUUCUUUCUCAG
Molecule: long non-coding RNA, 3230 nt
Filed under: Homo sapiens (human)
Lineage: Eukaryota; Metazoa; Chordata; Mammalia; Primates; Hominidae
Description: HSALNT0187357
Source: RNAcentral